CAGGGUAGCCUAGUGGUUAGAGUGGAGGGCGGCAGGGUAGCCUAGUGGUUAGAGUGGAGGGGCGGCAGGGUAGCCUAGUGGUUAGAGUGGAGGGGCGGCAGGGUAGCCUAGUGGUUAGAGUGGAGGGGCGGCAGGGUAGCCUAGUGGUUAGAGUGGAGGGGCGGCACGGUAGCCAAGUGGUUAGAGUGGAGGGGCGGCAGGGUAGCCUAGUGGUUAGAGUGGAGGGGCGGCAGGGUAGCCUAGUGGUUAGAGUGGAGGGGCGGCACAGUAGCCUAGUGGUUAGAGUGUAGAGGCGGCAGGGUAGCCUAGUGGUUAGAGUGUUGGACGAGCAACUGUAAAGGUUGCAAGUUCAUAUCCCCGAGCUGACAAGGUACAAAUCUGUCGUUCUGCCCCUGAACAGGCAGUUAAACCCACUGUUCCUAGACCAGUUAACCCACUGUUCCUAGACCAGUUAACCCACUGUUCCUAGACCAGUUAACCCACUGUUCCUAGACCAGUUAACCCACUGUUCCUAGACCAGUUAACCCACUGUUCCUAGACCAUUAAACCCACUGUUCCUAGACCAGUUAAACCCACUGUUCCUAGACCAGUUAAACCCACUGUUCCUAGACCAGUUAAACCCACUGUUCCUAGACCAGUUAAACCCACUGUUCCUAGACCAGUUAAACCCACUGUUCCUA
Oncorhynchus keta (chum salmon) is the source of this 680-nucleotide long non-coding RNA. RefSeq lists it as uncharacterized. The record is from RefSeq and is a predicted model, not a curated record. Lineage: Eukaryota; Metazoa; Chordata; Actinopteri; Salmoniformes; Salmonidae. The transcript has 4 exons.